This 202-nucleotide unclassified non-coding RNA is filed under the name Hevea brasiliensis (rubber tree). Lineage: Eukaryota; Viridiplantae; Streptophyta; Magnoliopsida; Malpighiales; Euphorbiaceae. The record is from RNAcentral.
UAGGCAUGCAAAAAGGAAAUCCCAGUCGAGGGAGUCAAAGGCCUGCCAGAAAUCGAUCUUGAUGGCCAUCUUCUCCCCCCUGCUUCUGGGUUGGGUACCCGCCGAUGACAUGGAAGCUGUCACGCGAGAAGAUAGCGUGGCACUCGUCACGCUCGCAUACCAUGUCAGGCAGUGCCGACCAUUCGUCGCUAGUCACGUCGUA